ACUAACGCUGAGAUACGAUGUCGAGCUACUACGGUAGUGAAGUCAUUGAUGCCAUGCUUCCAGGAAAAGCCUCUAAGCUUCAGAUUGUAAGGAAUCGUACCCCAAACCGACACAGGUGGUCGGGUAGAGAAUACCAAGGCGCUUGAGAGAACUCGGGUGAAGGAACUAGGCAAAAUGGUACCGUAACUUCGGGAGAAGGUACGCUCUUAUCAGUGAAGUCCCUUGCGGAUGGAGCAGACGAGAGUCGCAGAUACCAGGUGGCUGCAACUGUUUAUUAAAAACACAGCACUGUGCAAAAUCGUAAGAUGACGUAUACGGUGUGACGCCUGCCCGGUGCCGGAAGGUUAAUUGAUGGGGUUAGACUUCGGUCGAAGCUCUUGAUCGAAGCCCCGGUAAACGGCGGCCGUAACUAUAACGGUCCUAAGGUAGCGAAAUUCCUUGUCGGGUAAGUUCCGACCUGCACGAAUGGCGUAAUGAUGGCCACGCUGUCUCCACCCGAGACUCAGUGAAAUUGAAAUCGCUGUGAAGAUGCAGUGUACCCGCGGCUAGACGGAAAGACCCCGUGAACCUUUACUACAGCUUGGCACUGAACAUUGAACCUACAUGUGUAGGAUAGGUGGGAGACUAUGAAAUUGCGUCGCUAGAUGUGAUGGAGUCGUCCUUGAAAUACCACCCUUGUAGUUUUGAUGUUCUAACGUUGGUCCCUGAAUCGGGAUUACGGACAGUGCCUGGUGGGUAGUUUGACUGGGGCGGUCUCCUCCCAAAGAGUAACGGAGGAGCACGAAGGUGGGCUAAACACGGUUGGACAUCGUGUGGUUAGUGCAAUGGCAUAAGCCCGCUUGACUGCGAGAAUGACAAUUCGAGCAGGUGCGAAAGCAGGUCAUAGUGAUCCGGUGGUUCUGAAUGGAAGGGCCAUCGCUCAACGGAUAAAAGGUACUCCGGGGAUAACAGGCUGAUACCGCCCAAGAGUUCAUAUCGACGGCGGUGUUUGGCACCUCGAUGUCGGCUCAUCACAUCCUGGGGCUGAAGUCGGCCCAAGGGUAUGGCUGUUCGCCAUUUAAAGUGGUACGCGAGCUGGGUUUAGAACGUCGUGAGACAGUUCGGUCCCUAUCUGCCGUGGGCGUUGGAAAAUUGAAAGGGGCUGCUCCUAGUACGAGAGGACCGGAGUGGACGAACCUCUGGUGUUCGGGUUGUCAUGCCAAUGGCAUUGCCCGGUAGCUAAGUUCGGAAUCGAUAACCGCUGAAAGCAUCUAAGCGGGAAGCGAGCCUUGAGAUGAGUUUUCCCUGGCACUAUAAGUGUCCUAAAGGGUUGUCGUAGACUACGACGUUGAUAGGCAGGGUGUGUAAGUGCUGCGAGGCAUUGAGCUAACCUGUACUAAUUGCCCGUGAGGCUUAACCAUACAACACCCAAGGGGUUU
This 1418-nucleotide ribosomal RNA is filed under the name Vibrio cyclitrophicus ZF170. Its description in RNAcentral is "bacterial LSU rRNA". It matches the Rfam family "Bacterial large subunit ribosomal RNA", at positions 1549 to 2925 of the family's 2925-position model. The record is from RNAcentral. Lineage: Bacteria; Pseudomonadati; Pseudomonadota; Gammaproteobacteria; Vibrionales; Vibrionaceae.